This 642-nucleotide ribosomal RNA is filed under the name uncultured marine eukaryote. RNAcentral's name for it is "SSU rRNA". It matches the Rfam family "Eukaryotic small subunit ribosomal RNA", at positions 618 to 1258 of the family's 1831-position model. The record is from RNAcentral.
GUUAAAAAGCUCGUAGUUGGAUUUCUGUGGGGACGGAGCGGCCGGCCGCACAUCGCGGUUCGAGCUAGCGCUUUCCCUACAUCCUGCCGCGAACCGUGCUACCAUUAGUUUGGUGGCGCUGGGGAUCGGCUCGAUUACUUUGAGAAAAAUAGAGUGUUCAAAGCAGGCCACACGCCUUGAAUAAGUUAGCAUGGAAUAAUAACUAAGGACUUCGGUUCUAUUUUGUUGGUGUUCGGGACUGAAGUAAUGAUUGAUAGGGACAGUUGGGGCGGUCAGUAUUCCAAAGCGAGAGGUGAAAUUCUUAGACCUUCGGAAGACUAACAGCUGCGAAAGCGUUCCGCAAGGAUGUUCCCUUUGAUCAAGAACGAAAGUUGGGGGAUCGAAGACGAUCAGAUACCGUCGUAGUCUCAACUAUAAACUAUACCAGCUAGGGAUCGGCCAACGUUAUUUUAUACCGACUUGGUCGGCACCUUAUGAGAAAUCAAAGCAUCUGGGUUCCGGGGGGAGUAUGGUCGCAAGGCUGAAACUUAAAGGAAUUGACGGAAGGGCACCACCAGCCGUGGAGCCUGUGGCUUAAUUUGACUCAACACGGGAAAACUUACCAGGUCCAGACAUAGUAAGGAUUGACAGAUUGAUAGCUCU